AGUGAACGCUGGCGGUAGGCCUAACACAUGCAAGUCGAACGGCAGCACAGUAAGAGCUUGCUCUUACGGGUGGCGAGUGGCGGACGGGUGAGGAAUACAUCGGAAUCUACUUUUUCGUGGGGGAUAACGUAGGGAAACUUACGCUAAUACCGCAUACGACCUACGGGUGAAAGCAGGGGAUCUUCGGACCUUGCGCGAUUGAAUGAGCCGAUGUCGGAUUAGCUAGUUGGCGGGGUAAAGGCCCACCAAGGCGACGAUCCGUAGCUGGUCUGAGAGGAUGGUCGGCGACACUGGAACGGAGACACGGUCAAGACUCCUACGGGAGGGAGCAGUGGGGAAUAUUGGACAAUGGGCGGAAGCCUGAUCCAGCCAUACCGCGUGGGUGAAGAAGGCCUUCGGGUUGUAAAGCCCUUUUGUUGGGAAAGAAAAGCAGCAGGUUAAUACCCCGCUGUUCUGACGGUACCCAAAGAAUAAGCACCGGCUAACUUCGUG
This 492-nucleotide ribosomal RNA is filed under the name uncultured bacterium. RNAcentral describes it as "partial 16S ribosomal RNA". It matches the Rfam family "Bacterial small subunit ribosomal RNA", at positions 29 to 507 of the family's 1533-position model. The record is from RNAcentral.